CUAAGAAUAUUCCGCAAUGGACGAAAGUCUGACGGAGCGACGCCGCGUGGAUGACGAAGGCCGAAAGGUUGUAAAAUCCUUUUGUUGGGGAAGAAUAAGCGUGGGAGGGAAUGCCCGCGUGAUGACAUGAACCGACGAAUAAGCCCCGGCUAACUACGUGCCAGCAGCCGCGGUAACACGUAGGGGGCAAGCGUUGUUCGGAAUUACUGGGCGUAAAGGGCAUGUAGGCGGCCUUGUAAGCCUGGCGUGAAAGUCACUGGCUCAACCAGUGGAUUGCGUCGGGAACUGCAGGGCUUGAGUCACGGAGGGGAGAGUAGAAUUCCUGGUGUAGGGGUGAAAUCUGUAGAGAUCAGGAAGAAUACCAGUGGCGAAGGCGACUCUCUGGCCGAUGACUGACGCUGAGGUGCGAAAGUGUGGGGAUCAAACAGG
This 429-nucleotide ribosomal RNA is filed under the name uncultured bacterium. RNAcentral describes it as "bacterial SSU rRNA". It matches the Rfam family "Bacterial small subunit ribosomal RNA", at positions 355 to 776 of the family's 1533-position model. The record is from RNAcentral.